This 314-nucleotide long non-coding RNA is filed under the name Zostera marina. RNAcentral's name for it is "long non-coding RNA (ZMAR_LNC000425)". The record is from RNAcentral. Lineage: Eukaryota; Viridiplantae; Streptophyta; Magnoliopsida; Alismatales; Zosteraceae.
UGAACUGCCUCAAAUGAACCCACGAUAUUCACCGGUACCAUUCAACCCAAGUACAUCAUUCAACACCGGACCAAGACAACAAAGUCCAUCGAUAGCUACGACCUUCCCUACCUGCAGAUUCAUCUCCCACCUUCGUCUUCAACUCGUGUCACUUACCAACAAAACAUGAAUCACAAGCGUGUUUAGUCUUUGAAAAAGAAUUUAUUAACCCUUAAUUACAGACGUAGUUUGAAUCAAAAUGACCUAGGUAAUGCCAUAGGUAAUGAUGAAGUUUUUCACAAUUAAGAGCAGCUCCAGUAAUAAUAUGAUUCAUG